This 626-nucleotide ribosomal RNA is filed under the name uncultured bacterium. RNAcentral describes it as "bacterial SSU rRNA". It matches the Rfam family "Bacterial small subunit ribosomal RNA", at positions 338 to 1533 of the family's 1533-position model. The record is from RNAcentral.
CCUACGGGAGGCAGCAGUGGGGAAUUUUGGACAAUGGGCGCAAGCCUGAUCCAGCAAUGCCGCGUGAGUGAAGAAGGCCUUCGGGUUGUAAAGCUCUUUUGUCAGGGAAGAAAAGGGUCUGGCUAAUAUCUAGGCCUCAUGACGGUACCUGAAGAAUAAGCACCGGCUAACUACGUGCCAGCAGCCGCGGUAAUACGUAGGGUGCAAGCGUUAAUCGGAAUUACUGGGCGUAAAGCGUGCGCAGGCGGUUUUGUAAGACUGUCGUGAAAUCCCCGGGCUCAACCUGGGAAUGGCGAUGGUGACUGCAAGGCUAGAGUUUGGCAGAGGGGGGUAGAAUUCCACGUGUAGCAGUGAAAUGCGUAGAUAUGUGGAGGAACACCGAUGGCGAAGGCAGCCCCCUGGGUCAAAACUGACGCUCAUGCACGAAAGCGUGGGGAGCAAACAGGAUUAGAUACCCUGGUAGUCCACGCCCUAAACGAUGUCUACUAGUUGUCGGGUCUUAAUUGACUUGGUAACGCAGCUAACGCGUGAAGUAGACCGCCUGGGGAGGACGGUCGUCGAGAGUUAAACUACUUAAUUAGAAGUUGNGGCGNGAGAGNGCCGACGGACGACGACGAGGGAGGAGG